UAGGGAAAAUGUGUUGUUUUAUGUUUCACUUUGCUUUCUGUUCUUGAAUUCACCUAGAUGCCCAUAGACAAUGAAAGAUACAGCAGUUCUUCAGAGAACAAGGGAUAUCUGAACUUACAGCAGGAAGUUGAGUUCUAGCUAUGGUUGCUGUGGUCCCCCUUAAUGAAGUGAUCUCAGCUGUGCCACCUUUUUGCUCCCACCACAGGGUCUCUGAGAGGCAAUGAACUGCCCAGAAGCCCACCCAGGGCUUCUCUACCUCAUUUAGUUGGGUCUUCUGCUUAGCAAUGUUCUCCCUCUCCUGAUGGGGAGGGUAAAUAGCUAAAACUAUUCAUCAUUUAGGGCAAAUAGCUAGAACUAUUCAUCAGGCCUCUGUCGGGUGUUUCGAGGAUUUAGGUUCAAUGCUGAGGACAAGUCUCAUUGCAGACAUAAAGCUUGGGGCUUUGGGGCCCUCACAGCAGGCAGCUAUGAUGCAGGUCUAAGUUAUUACUCUGGUUGAGUCAUUAAAGAUUUUGAAAUUGAAGCUAUUUGUACCCCUGCCAAGCACAGCUCUCUGGUCUGGAAGGAUCUUAUCUAUGUCCUGAACAAGUGAGUAAUUCUCUGCCCACACUGUGCUUCAUCUGUAGGCAGGGUCCAACUACCUGUGUAAAUAGCCUGAUGGGGCAGAGAUUUGGCAAGCCAUCCUGCAUAUUUAUGUGGCCCCCAGGCCUCCACCUGCAUACUUGUUAGUCUAAUAUCCCACGAGCUGGUCCUAAAUUGAAUUAACCUAGCAUAAAAGGAUAUUACUCCAGGCUGGGUCGUGGUUCUUGUCUGGAGAAUUUUGGUGAUCUUCAAUGUCCGAGAUAUCUGCAGUCUGUAUUCAUUGUUCUCCUAGGCAUGGGCACACUGCCAUAGGUCACACUUGAUCUUUGCCCUAUUGAUGCUCACAGUUUGGAGGUGCAAGUAGAUCUGUGGCCAGUUAAUAAUCUUCCAAUGUGCCUGGUCUGCACUUCUAAAAUUUUCCAGUGAAGAUGGGACCACAGAGAUGGCAUCUAAGAUGGCUGGCCCAGAGUAGGC
RNAcentral lists this long non-coding RNA (1053 nucleotides) under Homo sapiens (human). Its description in RNAcentral is "HSALNT0287430". The record is from RNAcentral. Lineage: Eukaryota; Metazoa; Chordata; Mammalia; Primates; Hominidae.